RNAcentral lists this ribosomal RNA (497 nucleotides) under uncultured bacterium. Its description in RNAcentral is "partial 16S ribosomal RNA". It matches the Rfam family "Bacterial small subunit ribosomal RNA", at positions 28 to 507 of the family's 1533-position model. The record is from RNAcentral.
GAUGAACGCUGGCGGCGUGCCUAAUACAUGCAAGUCGAGCGAACGGACGAGAAGCUUGCUUCUCUGAUGUUAGCGGCGGACGGGUGAGUAACACGUGGAUAACCUACCUAUAAGACUGGGAUAACUUCGGGAAACCGGAGCUAAUACCGGAUGAUAUUUUGAACCGCAUGGUUCAAAAUUGAAAGACGGUCUUGCUGUCACUUAUAGAUGGAUCCGCGCUGCAUUAGCUAGUUGGUAAGGUAACGGCUGACCAAGGCAACGAUGCAUAGCCGACCUGAGAGGGUGAUCGGCCACACGGGAACUGGGACAGGGUCAAGACUCCUACGGGAGGAAGCAGAAGGGAAUCUUCCGCAAUGGGCGAAGGCCUGACGGAGCAACGCGGCGUGAGUGAUGAAGGUUUCCGGAUCGUAAAACUCUGUUAUAAGGGAAGAACAUAUGUGUAAGGAACUGUGCACAUCGUGACGGUACCUAAUCAGAAAGCCACGGCUAACUACGUG